Molecule: ribosomal RNA, 1536 nt
Filed under: Klebsiella quasipneumoniae
Lineage: Bacteria; Pseudomonadati; Pseudomonadota; Gammaproteobacteria; Enterobacterales; Enterobacteriaceae
Description: 16S ribosomal RNA
Rfam family: Bacterial small subunit ribosomal RNA
Source: RNAcentral
UUGAAGAGUUUGAUCAUGGCUCAGAUUGAACGCUGGCGGCAGGCCUAACACAUGCAAGUCGAGCGGUAGCACAGAGAGCUUGCUCUCGGGUGACGAGCGGCGGACGGGUGAGUAAUGUCUGGGAAACUGCCUGAUGGAGGGGGAUAACUACUGGAAACGGUAGCUAAUACCGCAUAAUGUCGCAAGACCAAAGUGGGGGACCUUCGGGCCUCAUGCCAUCAGAUGUGCCCAGAUGGGAUUAGCUAGUAGGUGGGGUAACGGCUCACCUAGGCGACGAUCCCUAGCUGGUCUGAGAGGAUGACCAGCCACACUGGAACUGAGACACGGUCCAGACUCCUACGGGAGGCAGCAGUGGGGAAUAUUGCACAAUGGGCGCAAGCCUGAUGCAGCCAUGCCGCGUGUAUGAAGAAGGCCUUCGGGUUGUAAAGUACUUUCAGCGGGGAGGAAGGCGAUAAGGUUAAUAACCUUGUCGAUUGACGUUACCCGCAGAAGAAGCACCGGCUAACUCCGUGCCAGCAGCCGCGGUAAUACGGAGGGUGCAAGCGUUAAUCGGAAUUACUGGGCGUAAAGCGCACGCAGGCGGUCUGUCAAGUCGGAUGUGAAAUCCCCGGGCUCAACCUGGGAACUGCAUUCGAAACUGGCAGGCUAGAGUCUUGUAGAGGGGGGUAGAAUUCCAGGUGUAGCGGUGAAAUGCGUAGAGAUCUGGAGGAAUACCGGUGGCGAAGGCGGCCCCCUGGACAAAGACUGACGCUCAGGUGCGAAAGCGUGGGGAGCAAACAGGAUUAGAUACCCUGGUAGUCCACGCCGUAAACGAUGUCGAUUUGGAGGUUGUGCCCUUGAGGCGUGGCUUCCGGAGCUAACGCGUUAAAUCGACCGCCUGGGGAGUACGGCCGCAAGGUUAAAACUCAAAUGAAUUGACGGGGGCCCGCACAAGCGGUGGAGCAUGUGGUUUAAUUCGAUGCAACGCGAAGAACCUUACCUGGUCUUGACAUCCACAGAACUUAGCAGAGAUGCUUUGGUGCCUUCGGGAACUGUGAGACAGGUGCUGCAUGGCUGUCGUCAGCUCGUGUUGUGAAAUGUUGGGUUAAGUCCCGCAACGAGCGCAACCCUUAUCCUUUGUUGCCAGCGGUUCGGCCGGGAACUCAAAGGAGACUGCCAGUGAUAAACUGGAGGAAGGUGGGGAUGACGUCAAGUCAUCAUGGCCCUUACGACCAGGGCUACACACGUGCUACAAUGGCAUAUACAAAGAGAAGCGACCUCGCGAGAGCAAGCGGACCUCAUAAAGUAUGUCGUAGUCCGGAUUGGAGUCUGCAACUCGACUCCAUGAAGUCGGAAUCGCUAGUAAUCGUAGAUCAGAAUGCUACGGUGAAUACGUUCCCGGGCCUUGUACACACCGCCCGUCACACCAUGGGAGUGGGUUGCAAAAGAAGUAGGUAGCUUAACCUUCGGGAGGGCGCUUACCACUUUGUGAUUCAUGACUGGGGUGAAGUCGUAACAAGGUAACCGUAGGGGAACCUGCGGUUGGAUCACCUCCUU